ACGAACGCUGGCGGCGUGCUUAACACAUGCAAGUCGAACGAUGAACCCGGAGCUUGCUCUGGGGGAUUAGUGGCGAACGGGUGAGUAACACGUGAGUAACCUGCCCUGGACUCUGGGAUAAGCGUUGGAAACGACGUCUAAUACCGGAUAGGACCUUGGAUCGCAUGAUCUGGGGUGGAAAGUUUUUUCGGUCUGGGAUGGACUCGCGGCCUAUCAGCUUGUUGGUGAGGUAAUGGCUCACCAAGGCGUCGACGGGUAGCCGGCCUGAGAGGGUGACCGGCCACACUGGGACUGAGACACGGCCCAGACUCCUACGGGAGGCAGCAGUGGGGAAUAUUGCACAAUGGGCGAAAGCCUGAUGCAGCAACGCCGCGUGCGGGAUGACGGCCUUCGGGUUGUAAACCGCUUUUAGUAGGGAAGAAGGGCUUCGGCUUGACGGUACCUGCAGAAAAAGGACCGGCUAACUACGUG
This 471-nucleotide ribosomal RNA is filed under the name uncultured bacterium. Its description in RNAcentral is "partial 16S ribosomal RNA". It matches the Rfam family "Bacterial small subunit ribosomal RNA", at positions 29 to 507 of the family's 1533-position model. The record is from RNAcentral.